This 449-nucleotide ribosomal RNA is filed under the name uncultured bacterium. RNAcentral's name for it is "partial 16S ribosomal RNA". It matches the Rfam family "Bacterial small subunit ribosomal RNA", at positions 29 to 523 of the family's 1533-position model. The record is from RNAcentral.
AACGAACGCUGGCGGCAUGCCUAACACGUGCAAGUCGAACGAGACCUUCGGGUUUAGUGGCGCACGGGUGCGUAACGCGUGGGAAUCUGCCCUUCGGUUGGGAAUAACUGAGAGAAAUUUCAGCUAAUACCUUAUAAUGUCUUCGGACCAAAGAUUUAUCGCCGAGGGAUGAGCCCGCGUAGGAUUAGGUAGUUGGUGGGGUAAUGGCCUACCAAGCCGACGAUCCUUAGCUGGUCUGAGAGGAUGAUCAGCCACACUGGGACUGAGACACGGCCCAGACUCCUACGGGAGGCAGCAGUGGGGAAUAUUGGACAAUGGGCGAAAGCCUGAUCCAGCAAUGCCGCGUGAGUGAUGAAGGCCUUAGGGUUGUAAAGCUCUUUUACCCGGGAUGAUAAUGACAGUACCGGGAGAAUAAGCUCCGGCUAACUCCGUGCCAGCCGCCGCGGUAA